CUGAAAAACCGGAGAGUUUAAUUCGAGUUGAGAAGCUGGCCAAUGGGAAGACAGGGAAGAAAAAAGAAGUCACUUUCUACCUGAUGGACAUUCUGGAGAAAGAUAAACUACUCACAAUUUUCCAAGAGCACAAUUUUUUCUGCGUGAUGCAUCUAGCUGGUCUGAAGUAGGUGGGGGAGAGCGUGAAAUAUCCCCUGAAGUACUACGAGGUGAACAUGGGCAUAGCCACUAAUCUGCUCAGAUGUAUGGACCAAACUGGCGUCACCAACUUCGUAUUCGCCAGCAGUUCCACAGUGUAUGGGCCAGUGCCGUGUGAACAACUGCCGAUAACUGAGGAGCAGCCGACUGGCAACUGCACGUGUGCAUAUGGGAGAACCAAGUACUUCAUUGAAGAGAUGCUCAAGGACUGCUGUCGGGCC
Long non-coding RNA from Symsagittifera roscoffensis, 419 nucleotides. RefSeq lists it as uncharacterized. The transcript is spliced from 3 exons. The record is from RefSeq and is a predicted model, not a curated record. NCBI's taxonomy places the organism in Eukaryota, Metazoa, Xenacoelomorpha, Acoela, Convolutidae.